RNAcentral lists this ribosomal RNA (342 nucleotides) under Megabalanus coccopoma. Its description in RNAcentral is "partial 12S ribosomal RNA". Lineage: Eukaryota; Metazoa; Arthropoda; Thecostraca; Balanomorpha; Balanidae. The record is from RNAcentral.
GUGUACACAAGACAGAGCUCCCAUCAAGUUUUCUUAAACUUUACAAUUAAAUCCACCUUCAAAAGAUUUUUCAUUCACUUUAUCCGUAUCAUUCUUAAAAUGUAACCCACCUCUAUCUUCUACAUUAGCUGCACCUUUACUUGAAGUCUAUGAUUUUAUCAUGCACGAGAGCUUUCUAAGGAAACUAACUGACAACAGCGGUAUACAAACUGAAUUACUAGUAAAAGUAGGGUCUUCGUGGCUCAUCGUUUAUAGGGCAGGUUCCUCUAAAUGGCUAUCUUGCCGCCAAAUCCGUUAAAUUUCAUUUAGUAAUACUAUUCCAAGGCUCCUUCCUUAUAAGUA